RNAcentral lists this ribosomal RNA (23 nucleotides) under Exophiala sideris. Its description in RNAcentral is "partial 28S ribosomal RNA". The record is from RNAcentral. Lineage: Eukaryota; Fungi; Ascomycota; Eurotiomycetes; Chaetothyriales; Herpotrichiellaceae.
GGUGACCUCGAUCAGUAGAUGCA